Molecule: long non-coding RNA, 613 nt
Organism: Orbicella faveolata
Lineage: Eukaryota; Metazoa; Cnidaria; Anthozoa; Scleractinia; Merulinidae
Source: RefSeq, a predicted model, not a curated record
UGGACUGUCCCACGUAUAUGACCGGCUCAGGACCUGGUAGAAAGCCUAUCGCAUAGAUGCCUUCAGAUUGUGGCGCUUCAGCAAGAUGGUCUCUAAUAUUUGUCAACGCUUAAUCAAUAAAGUCUGGAGAUCGUACGCCAGUGAUCUCGACAAAGCACCUCAUGCUGAAGGCAUUUAUACCAUAGGCUACGAGGAUCCAGAUGGCGAGGUUGAGUACAUCUAUCUGGGGCAUUCCAACGACAUUCGGAGGCGACUAAAGGAGCACAAGCGACAGGAUUUGGAUAUCGAUGAGUUUGUAAAAGAUGAAUUCCGUCUAAACAAUGGGCAAGAGCUGAGAAUUAAAUGGGUAGAGGAGAAAGAUAGCGAAUGUGUUGAAGGAGAAUACCUCGAUUGUAUGCAUAAAAAACUCGGUUAUUGGCCAGAGUAUAACAAAAAGCGUGGAAACGAAUGUGAAUAGGUCUCCCUAAGAUCUAUUAAAUGUACUGAAGGCAUACAUUUGAGAUGUAGCUUUAAUAGUUGAAUUUCAAGCGUACAUUUAUGAAAACUAUUCAUGAUUCUUAUUAGAGGGUUAGAUGUGAGAUUUUAAUUAAUAAACUUGUAACUUCAACCAUAA